AACACAAAAAUUAGCCGGGCAUGAUGACUCUCAUCUCUUACUGUAUAAAGAGUGGAGAGAUCCUUGGAAUGAAGAUAACCAAGAUGACACAUUGAAAAAAAUGGCAGAUCUUUCCCUUGGACUGUACCAUGUUUAAAAUGUGAGUCUAUAUUCUCAUGACAAAUGUUUUUGUCAUCUUCUACUUAAGUGGAACGCACCAUACAAGAGGACCUGUGUUAGAAAACUUACCUGUAUCUUCUGGGACACCCGUUUUUUUGUUGUUGUUGUUUUUUGUUUGUUUGUUUUUUGUUUUUGUUUUUUUGAGACAGAGUCUCA
This 315-nucleotide long non-coding RNA is filed under the name Homo sapiens (human). RNAcentral's name for it is "HSALNT0320686". Lineage: Eukaryota; Metazoa; Chordata; Mammalia; Primates; Hominidae. The record is from RNAcentral.